GAUUAGAGUUUGAGCCUGGCUCAGGAUAAACGCUGGCGGUGUGCUUUAUGCAUGCAAGUCGAACGAUUCUGAUUUAUCAGAAUAGUGGCGAACGGGUGAGUAACACGUAAGUAACCUGCCCCUAAGUAAAGGAUAACUCUGAGAAAUUGGAGCUAAUACUGUAUGUGGUGGUGGGGCUAAGGCUCCAUCACUAAAGCCUACGGGCGCUUGGGGAGGGGCUUGCGUCCGAUUAGCUAGUUGGUAAGGUAAUGGCCUACCAAGGCAACGAUCGGUAGCUGGUUUAAGAGGACGGUCAGCCACAUUGGGACUGAGACACGGCCCAGACUCCUACGGGAGGCAGCAGCAAGGAAUAUUGUGCAAUGGGCGAAAGCCUGACACAGCGACACCGCGUGGGGGAUGAAGGCCUUCGGGUCGUAAACCCCUUUUCCCAGAGAAGAAAAAUGACGGUACCUGGGGAAUAAGUCUUGGCUAACUACGUGCCAGCAGCCGCGGUAAGACGUAGAAGGCAAGCGUUAUCCGGAUUUAUUGGGCGUAAAGAGGGUGUAGGCGGUUCUUCAAGUCGGAUGUAAAAUCUCCCGGCUCAACUGGGAGGGAUCAUUCGAUACUGUUGGGCUAGAGUGCAGCAGGGGGAGAUGGAAUUCCCGGUGUAGUGGUGAAAUGCGUAGAUAUCGGGAGGAACACCAGUGGCGAAGGCGGUCUCCUGGGCUGUUACUGACGCUGAGACCCGAAGGCGUGGGGAGCGAACAGGAUUAGAUACCCUGGUAGUCCACGCAGUAAACGAUGGACACUAGGUAUGGGGGGUAUCGACCCCCUCCGUGCCGAAGUUAACGCUUUAAGUGUCCCGCCUGGGGAGUACGGUCGCAAGACUAAAACUCAAA
Molecule: ribosomal RNA, 878 nt
Filed under: uncultured Chloroflexota bacterium
Lineage: Bacteria; Bacillati; Chloroflexota
Description: bacterial SSU rRNA
Rfam family: Bacterial small subunit ribosomal RNA
Source: RNAcentral